UACGGAGGAUGCGAGCGUUAUCCGGAUUUAUUGGGUUUAAAGGGUGCGUAGGCGGGCUUUUAAGUCAGCGGUAAAAAUUCGGGGCUCAACCCCGUCUGGCCGUUGAAACUGGGGGCCUUGAGUGGGCGAGAAGAAGGCGGAAUGCGUGGUGUAGCGGUGAAAUGCAUAGAUAUCACGCAGAACCCCGAUUGCGAAGGCAGCCUUCCGGCGCCCUGCUGACGCUGAGGCACGAAAGUGCGGGGAUCGAACAGG
This 252-nucleotide ribosomal RNA is filed under the name uncultured bacterium. RNAcentral describes it as "partial 16S ribosomal RNA". It matches the Rfam family "Bacterial small subunit ribosomal RNA", at positions 524 to 776 of the family's 1533-position model. The record is from RNAcentral.